Non-coding RNA from Kogia breviceps (pygmy sperm whale), 1647 nucleotides. The record is from RefSeq and is a predicted model, not a curated record. Lineage: Eukaryota; Metazoa; Chordata; Mammalia; Artiodactyla; Physeteridae.
GCGGAGGAAUAUGGCGCUGUGGGCAUGUUCAGUUGCUCCUGCCCUCAGGCUUUGGGGCCUGGGAGGUGCGCGGCCCUGGACCCGCCGGCCUCGUAUUGCAUGUGGAGGAAGGCCCGUGUCUUUUUCUGCCAGUGCCUCCAGUGUCUCUGGAAGUGGAGGCCACAGUCAGAAGUUUCUCCUGCAGGACAUCGCUGAGCUGAUGAAAACCAGAGCCUGCCAGAGGGCGGUGGUCAUGGUCGGGGCCGGCAUCAGCACACCCAGCGGCGUCCCAGACUUCAGAUCUCCAGGGACCGGCUACUACAGCAUGCUCCAGCAGUACAAGAUCCCCUACCCCGAGGCCAUUUUUGAGCUCUCAUUUUUCUUGCGUGAUCCCAAGCCGUUUUUCACUUUUGCCAAGGAGCUGUACCCUGGGAACCGUAGGCCCAAUGCUGCUCACUACUUCCUGCGACUGCUCCAUGACAAGGGCCUGCUUCUGCGGCUCUACACACAGAACAUCGACGGGCUUGAGAGAGCGUCUGGCAUCCCUGCCUCAAAGCUCGUAGAAGCUCACGGAUCCUUUGCCUCUGCCACCUGCACCGUCUGCCGAAGACCCUUCCCAGGGGAGGACUUCUGGGCCGACGUGAUGGUGGACGGGGUCCCACGCUGCCCGGUCUGCACUGGCGUUGUGAAGCCCGACAUCGUGUUCUUUGGGGAGAUGCUGCCCCACAGGUUCCUGCUGCAUCUGGCUGACUUCCCCAUGGCAGACCUGCUGCUCAUCCUUGGGACCUCUCUGGAGGUGGAACCUUUCGCCAGCUUGUCUGAGGCCGUGCGGAGCUCGGUGCCCCGACUCCUCAUCAACCGGGACUUGGUCGGGUCCCUGGCUCGGCAUCCUCGGGGCAGGGAUGUGGUCCAGCUGGGGGACGUGGUUCACGGUGUGAAAAGGCUGGUGGAGCUUCUGGGCUGGACGGAGGAGAUGCGGGACCUCAUCCGGCGGGAAACUGGAAAGUUUGAUGGUUGGGACAAAUUAGGAGAGUGAGGGCCACUCCUCGCACCAGAAUGGCUGUACGGGAGUCACGGCCCGCUUCUGAUGAGCCCUCUGCCUGAAGAACAGCUCGGGCACGUUGACAAGUUUUGGCUGAACCAGAACAUGCGACCUGAGGCUGCCCCUGGAGUGUCUUCCCAGGUCAUAAGAGUCUGUGCACUCAGGGCCACCCCAGCCACAGAUGUGCAGGAGCUGCCUGGCCUGACUUUUUGCUGAAGCUCUUAAUGCCACAAGCGUUCUUCUGAUGGUGAACCUCUUGAACUCAGACAACCUGGAACCGUAGACUGGACUCCAAUCUGAAGGGCAGGUUCAGCAUCUGUCCACUUGGGUCGAGCAGCCCGUCACACCCCAAGUGUGGGCCUGGGUCCCAGGGAAGAUGAACAUGGAAAGGGGAGCUUGGGUGUGUGUGUGUGUCUUUCCUCUACUGAAACCACCCGAGGACUGAGAACAUUUGUCCCUGAUUCAUCUCAGAGGUGGGUACAGUGCCCUCUUCCAGCUCAAGUCCACGGGACCUUCAGAGCACCCAGCACCCCUCCUGAAGGUCACCCCAUCCUGUUCACUCAACCUGAUGCCUUUCACAUCAACCCCCAGAAACUCAUCUGUUCCAGACCAUUCCAGCAGCUUCC